RNAcentral lists this ribosomal RNA (492 nucleotides) under Lepas sp. eL29l11_09. RNAcentral's name for it is "partial 16S ribosomal RNA". It matches the Rfam family "Archaeal large subunit ribosomal RNA", at positions 1932 to 2666 of the family's 2987-position model. The record is from RNAcentral. RNAcentral also lists the same sequence under 1 other name. Lineage: Eukaryota; Metazoa; Arthropoda; Thecostraca; Lepadidae.
UAUGAAAGGAGGUAAAGCCUGCUCACUGAAUUUUGAAGAGCCGCAGUAUACUGACUGUGCUAAGGUAGCAUAAUAAUUUGUCUCUUAAUUGGGGACUAGAAUGAAUGGUUUAACGAGAAAUUAACUUUUUUAGGGGUAACAAUUUAAUUUAAUUCUUUAGUGAAAAAGCUAAAAUGAAAUAGAAAGACGAGAAGACCCUAUAGAGUUUCAUAUGUAAAUUAUUUUUGAUUUAUUAAAUUUUUAGAAUCAAAGCUAAAAAACAUAUUUUGUUGGGGCGACAUUUAGAUAAGAAAAACUUUUUAUAUUAAAAACUUAAAUUCAAGAAUCUUUGAUCCUUAAAAAAGAUUAGAAGUAUAAAUUACCUUAGGGAUAACAGCGUAAUCUCCCUUGAGAGCCCAAAUCGACAGGGAGGUUUGCGACCUCGAUGUUGGACUAAAAUUAAAUUAAGGUGCAGAAGUCUUAAGUUUAGGUCUGUUCGACCUAUAAAUUUUU